GGGACUGUGUUGCAGUGGUAGCAUUCAAGACUUCGAGGUCUUAAAAACUGGAGUUUCAUCUUGCGGUCACGGGUUCGAAUCCUGUCGGUCCUU
Molecule: transfer RNA, 93 nt
Organism: Cryptococcus amylolentus CBS 6039
Lineage: Eukaryota; Fungi; Basidiomycota; Tremellomycetes; Tremellales; Cryptococcaceae
Rfam family: tRNA
About the family: Transfer RNA (tRNA) molecules are approximately 80 nucleotides in length. Their secondary structure includes four short double-helical elements and three loops (D, anti-codon, and T loops).
Source: Rfam